Molecule: transfer RNA, 76 nt
Filed under: Nitrospira sp.
Lineage: Bacteria; Pseudomonadati; Nitrospirota; Nitrospiria; Nitrospirales; Nitrospiraceae
Also listed under: 11 other names
Description: tRNA-Lys
Rfam family: tRNA
About the family: Transfer RNA (tRNA) molecules are approximately 80 nucleotides in length.
Source: RNAcentral
GGGUCGUUAGCUCAGCUGGUAGAGCAGCUGACUCUUAAUCAGCGGGCCACAGGUUCGAUCCCUGUACGACCCACCA